UACGGAGGGUGCAAGCGUUAUCCGGAUUCACUGGGUUUAAAGGGUGCGUAGGUGGGCUAGUAAGUCCGUGGUGAAAUCUCCAAGCUUAACUUGGAAACUGCCGUGGAUACUAUUAGUCUUGAAUCUCGUGGAGGUAAGCGGAAUAUGUCAUGUAGCGGUGAAAUGCUUAGAUAUGACCCGGAACACCUAUUGCGAAGGCAGCAGGCUAAACAAAGAUUGACGCUGAGGCUCGAAAGCGUGGGGAUCAAACAGG
RNAcentral lists this ribosomal RNA (253 nucleotides) under uncultured bacterium. RNAcentral describes it as "partial 16S ribosomal RNA". It matches the Rfam family "Bacterial small subunit ribosomal RNA", at positions 524 to 776 of the family's 1533-position model. The record is from RNAcentral.